CAGCCGUAAACUAUGCGCGUUAGGUGUAUCGGUGACCACGAGUUACCGAGGUGCCGAAGGGAAACCGUGAAACGUGCCGCCUGGGAAGUAUGGUCGCAAGGCUGAAACUUAAAGGAAUUGGCGGGGGAGCACCACAACAGGUGGAGCCUGCGGUUUAAUUGGACUCAACGCCGGGAAGCACACCGGAUAGGACAGCAGAAUGAUUGCCGGGCUGAAGACCCUGCAUGACUAGCUGAGAGGAGGUGCAUGGCGUCAGUGACU
RNAcentral lists this ribosomal RNA (261 nucleotides) under uncultured archaeon. RNAcentral's name for it is "partial 16S ribosomal RNA". It matches the Rfam family "Archaeal small subunit ribosomal RNA", at positions 748 to 1008 of the family's 1478-position model. The record is from RNAcentral.